RNAcentral lists this transfer RNA (64 nucleotides) under Meloimorpha japonica. RNAcentral describes it as "tRNA-Glu". It matches the Rfam family "tRNA". Rfam says of the family: Transfer RNA (tRNA) molecules are approximately 80 nucleotides in length. The record is from RNAcentral. Lineage: Eukaryota; Metazoa; Arthropoda; Insecta; Orthoptera; Phalangopsidae.
AUUUAUAUAGUUUAAUAAAAACGUUACAUUUUCAUUGUAUAGAUGGUAAAAUUAUCUAUAAAUA